Molecule: non-coding RNA, 217 nt
Filed under: Clostridium acetobutylicum
Lineage: Bacteria; Bacillati; Bacillota; Clostridia; Eubacteriales; Clostridiaceae
Description: T-box sequence
Rfam family: T-box leader
About the family: Uncharged tRNA acts as the effector for transcription antitermination of genes in the T-box leader family. T-boxes are found upstream of many aminoacyl-tRNA synthetase genes and some amino acid biosynthetic genes usually in Gram-positive bacteria.
Source: RNAcentral
AUAAAGGCUUUGAAAAGGAAGAGUAAGCAAAUUACUGUUUUAAAGAGAGGGAAUUAUUAGCUGAAAUUUUCCCAAACGUGUAUUGUUGAAAACCACCUUUGAGCUGAGUGUUGAAUUAUAGUAGGCAUUUCCGCAUAUCUGCGUUAUUGAUUUGAGUGAAAGGAAGGAAAGAUUUCUUCUUUUAAUUUGGGUGGAAACACGGUAACUCGUCCCUUGU